UACGUAGGGGGCAAGCGUUGUCCGGAUUUAUUGGGCGUAAAGAGCGUGUAGGCGGCCAGGUAGGUCCGUUGUGAAAACUCGAGGCUCAACCUCGAGACGUCGAUGGAAACCAUCUGGCUAGAGUCCGGAAGAGGAGAGUGGAAUUCCAGGUGUAGCGGUGAAAUGCGCAGAUAUCGGGAAGAACACCCGUGGCGAAGGCGGCUCUCUGGUACGGUACUGACGCUGAGACGCGAAAGCGUGGGGAGCGAACAGG
This 253-nucleotide ribosomal RNA is filed under the name uncultured bacterium. RNAcentral describes it as "partial 16S ribosomal RNA". It matches the Rfam family "Bacterial small subunit ribosomal RNA", at positions 524 to 776 of the family's 1533-position model. The record is from RNAcentral.